RNAcentral lists this ribosomal RNA (474 nucleotides) under Aphyosemion congicum. Its description in RNAcentral is "partial 16S ribosomal RNA". It matches the Rfam family "Bacterial large subunit ribosomal RNA", at positions 1926 to 2551 of the family's 2925-position model. The record is from RNAcentral. Lineage: Eukaryota; Metazoa; Chordata; Actinopteri; Cyprinodontiformes; Nothobranchiidae.
AACGGCCGCGGUAUCUUGACCGUGCAAAGGUAGCGCAAUCACUUGUCUUUUAAAUGGAGACCUGUAUGAAUGGCAUAACGAGGGCUUAACUGUCUCCUUUUUCCUAUCAAUGAAAUUGAUCUCCCCGUGCAGAAGCGGGGAUUAAAACAUAAGACGAGAAGACCCUAUGGAGCUUAGAACGCAAGGACAGAAUAAUACUUCUUCAUGCAAAUCAAAAUAUGAAAUAUAAUUAUAAACCUGUUCAAAUGUUUUUGGUUGGGGCGACCACGGAGUAUAAUUAAACCUCCAUGAGGAACAAAGACAUUCCUUUUCAUUUAAGGGUGACAACCCUAAAAAACAGAACAUCUGACCAUCUUGAUCCGGCAAAGCCGAUCAACGAACCGAGUUACCCUAGGGAUAACAGCGCAAUCCUCUUUUAGAGUCCAUAUCGACAAGAAGGUUUACGACCUCGAUGUUGGAUCAGGACAUCCUAAU